GGGGUUGUGACUCAGUGGUAGAGUACUUGCCUAUUAUGUGUGAGGCACUGGGUUCAAUUCUCAGCACCUCA
Molecule: transfer RNA, 71 nt
Filed under: Marmota marmota marmota (Alpine marmot)
Lineage: Eukaryota; Metazoa; Chordata; Mammalia; Rodentia; Sciuridae
Also listed under: 3 other names
Rfam family: tRNA
About the family: Transfer RNA (tRNA) molecules are approximately 80 nucleotides in length.
Source: Rfam by way of RNAcentral